This 199-nucleotide long non-coding RNA is filed under the name Brassica rapa (field mustard). Its description in RNAcentral is "long non-coding RNA (BRAP_LNC002504)". The record is from RNAcentral. Lineage: Eukaryota; Viridiplantae; Streptophyta; Magnoliopsida; Brassicales; Brassicaceae.
AAAUUGGAAUAAAAUAUUUUCGUUUUUGUAAAUAUUAUUUUCGUUUUUAUUAUAUGAAUAUUUCUUUUUAUUAUAUAUGUUAUUUACCAAAAUAUAAAAAGGAAACUAAAAUCUAAAUGGAAUAGAUUAUUAAGUAUUUUUAAUAAUGGCAAUUUGAAAUAAUAGUUUAAUUCAUUAAGGUUACCUAUGUAAAUAGCCG